UCCCAGACUCCUACGGGAGGCAGCAGUGGGGAAUAUUGCACAAUGGGGGAAACCCUGAUGCAGCGACGCCGCGUGAGUGAAGAAGUAUUUCGGUAUGUAAAGCUCUCUCAGCAGGGAAGAAAUAGCGACCUUUGGGUCGCCAGACGGUACCUGACUAAGAAGCCCCGGCUAACUACGUGCCAGCAGCCGCGGUAAUACGUAGGGGGCAAGCGUUAUCCGGAUUUACUGGGUGUAAAGGGAGCGUAGACGGCGAGGUAAGCCUGAAGUGGAAGCCCGCGGCCCAACCGCGGAACUGCUUUGGGAACUGUUUUGCUGGAGUAUGGGAGGGGUAAGCGGAAUUCCUGGUGCAGCGGUGAAAUGCGUAGAUAUCAGGAGGAACAUCGGUGGCGAAGGCGGCUUACUGGACCGUAACUGACGUUGAGGCUCGAAAGCGUGGGGAGCGAACAGGAUUAGAUACCCCAGUA
This 464-nucleotide ribosomal RNA is filed under the name uncultured bacterium. RNAcentral's name for it is "bacterial SSU rRNA". It matches the Rfam family "Bacterial small subunit ribosomal RNA", at positions 329 to 792 of the family's 1533-position model. The record is from RNAcentral.